RNAcentral lists this ribosomal RNA (330 nucleotides) under Ancylus fluviatilis. RNAcentral's name for it is "partial 16S ribosomal RNA". RNAcentral also lists the same sequence under 3 other names. Lineage: Eukaryota; Metazoa; Mollusca; Gastropoda; Ancylidae. The record is from RNAcentral.
UAUUAUUUCUGCCCAGUGUAUAUAAUAUUAACGGCCGCAGUACUUUGACUGUGCUAAGGUAGCAUAAUCAAUUGGCUUUUAAUUUGAGUCUGGAAUGAAAGGAUUUAUGGGGAUUUACUGUUUCAAAUGUAUAAUAUUGAAUUUAUUAAAAAAGUGAAAAUACUUUUGUUUUAAAAAAAGACGAGAAGACCCUAAGAAUUUUUAGAAUAUAUUUAUACAAUUAUUUCUUUUUGUUGGGGCGACAAUUAAACAAUUAAACUUUAAUUAUUUUUAAUCGGUUUUUUCAGUAAAAAAUAAAUUACCUUAGGGAUAACAGCAUAAUUUAAAAAA